Molecule: ribosomal RNA, 263 nt
Filed under: uncultured bacterium
Lineage: Bacteria
Description: partial 16S ribosomal RNA
Rfam family: Bacterial small subunit ribosomal RNA
Source: RNAcentral
CUUAGUGGCGGACGGGUGAGUAACGCGUGGGCAACCUGCCCCGUGCCGGGGGAUACCGCCUGGAAACAGGCGCUAAUACCGCAUAAGCGCAUACAGCCGCAUGGCAGUAUGCGGAAAGCUCCGGCGGCACGGGAUGGGCCCGCGCCCGAUUAGCCAGUUGGCGGGGUAACGGCCCACCAAAGCGACGAUCGGUAGCCGGCCUGAGAGGGCGGACGGCCACAUUGGGACUGAGACACGGCCCAGACUCCUACGGAAGGCAGCAG